GGGGGAGUGAAAAUUGAUCGCAAUCACCUCUUUUAUUUAUAAUUGGUGUAUACUCAAGACUCUUUUUAAGACUACAUUAUUGUCUCUAACCGAAGUCAAAAAUAAACAGACAUAAUUUUUAUAAAUACCUACCCAUAUUUUACUAAAUUGUAAAAAUAUUCAAACACUUGGUCAAUUUCAUGAAAAAGCCUGGUAUGAAAGUACUCAAGACUCAACUGAAAAGGAGUUGUUGGCAGCCAGUAUUUAUAUUGUGUACUCAUAGGUGUAUUAUGAUGGUUUUCUGUUAGGGUGCCUUAAUAGCCUUAACAAAAUUGUUUUCAAGGAUACAUAUCUACUUGUCGGUACUGUUAUGGUGUUACCCCUCCCUUAAAAGCAUAAGGUUAUUAUGAGGCAUACACAGGAGAGGAUUUUGGGAGUUUAAUCACCUCAAGAACUUUUAGUUUAUUAAUUUUGUGUUUAAUUAUAAUCAACAUAUUAGGUGCAUAAAAAUAUUUUAUAAAAUAAAACACUAACAUUUUCACUUGCAUAUUAUGCACUUUAUGUAUGCCCUAUAGGUACAUAUGAAGAGCUACGGGGAAAAACGAUAAUAGUAAAAAAAAAAAAAAAUAGGAUAAUUAUAUCAUCUUGUCAUUUGUUUCUAAGUGAAUUGGUAUGUAAAUCGAUUUGGGGAAUAAAGAUCACGGUCAGUGAUAUAAAAUAGGUUUAAAUAUACCUAUGACAGCAAAACAAGAUCAUAGUUUGA
Molecule: non-coding RNA, 742 nt
Organism: Cinara cedri
Lineage: Eukaryota; Metazoa; Arthropoda; Insecta; Hemiptera; Aphididae
Source: the annotation of a GenBank genome assembly